Long non-coding RNA from Caretta caretta (loggerhead turtle), 720 nucleotides. RefSeq lists it as uncharacterized. The record is from RefSeq and is a predicted model, not a curated record. Lineage: Eukaryota; Metazoa; Chordata; Testudines; Cheloniidae.
CAUAAAGAUCUGAUGAAGCUUGAUGUAAAAGGAACCAAUCCAGUGAAAGAUAUCCAUGGCCUUCCAAACUCCACAAACCACAGACUUAAAGCUGAAGAUGCUGAUUCUGUGGCAAGAACAGUUCAUUUCUAAGUUUUGGAACUAUUGAGGAGCCAUGCUUUGAGCAGGAGAACUUGCAGAUUUGCGUGACGGAUCUGGCCCAAAUCUUGAGAAAGAAGAGGAACAGGGUGGAGAGUAAAUGGUGGACAGACCGCCAGCUGAAAAAGAUCUCUCAAAAGGGAGGUCCUCCACCAUGAUGUGUAACUUCUUUAGAAAGCCGCAGAGAUGAUGCCAAGAUGUUCUCUUCAUGACAACUGCUGUGAAGUUGGAAAGUGCAACUCUAUCGACAGCAACCAGAGAAGCCUGCAUUGCUGUCCUCGCAAGGAGCUGACCCUCAGCAACGAUAGCCUGGAAUUCCUCUCUCUCAUCCAAAGGGAUGUGUUCAAUAAAGGUAUUUAAUUUCAAUUAAUUGGUAUGGUUUUAUUUUGCCAUGAAGGCUUGAUAAUUAGCGAUCCUAAAAUGUAGAAUAUUUAUUGAAGAAUAUUAUUUACGCCCAAAUAAAUCCAGUCAUUUUCAGUCCUUAUUGUAUGGUGUCGUUUUAGCAUAGUACUGUCUGCCAUGUUCAUUAACAGUGUCAACGACCAGUGAAUUAGGGGAUGAGAAAAUAAAAAGCCCCCUACU